Molecule: ribosomal RNA, 293 nt
Filed under: uncultured bacterium
Lineage: Bacteria
Description: partial 16S ribosomal RNA
Rfam family: Bacterial small subunit ribosomal RNA
Source: RNAcentral
GUGCCAGCAGCCGCGGUAAUACGGAGGGAGCGAGCGUUGUCCGAAGUUACUGGGCGUAAAGCGCGCGUAGGCGGGGAAUUAAGUGAGAAGUGAAAGGCUGGGGCUCAACCCCAUGCAGUGCUUCUCAUACUGGUUUUCUUGAGGGUGGUAGAGAGAAGUGGAAUGGCUGGUGUAGCGGUGAAAUGCGUAGAUAUCAGUCGGAACACCGGUGGCGAAGGCGGCUUCUUGGGCCAUUUCUGACGCUGAGGCGCGAAAGCUAGGGGAGCGAACGGGAUUAGAAACCCCUGUAGUCC